CCUGUUCCAAUCUUAUUUAAAAUUUCACUAAUUUAUAUGGUGACCCAAAUUUUUGCCCUAAUCUCAAAAUAUUUAUUUAAAGAAAAAUUGGGAUAUUCACAGAAUUCAUAAGAGAAAAAACAUUGGUUUCUAGCUCUAAUAGCAGGUUGUUGAAGGGACUUGGGAAUUCUUCAUUUCCAUUAUGUGGUAGAGUGACCCUGAGCCCAAUCCCUGAUACUAAAAAAACAACAAAAUAAAAUAGGUUCCCAUUCUUUCUCCCUGCCAAAAAAAAAAUUUGUUUUCUCUGUGUGAACUGCUAUUGUCAAUUAUUUUUCUGCUCUAUUUUCUUUAUCAGAUAAUCAAUUUCUUUGUUCUACAGCACAAACAUCCAAGGUUUUCCACUUAGUGUGCCACUUUACCCUUGGGGAUUGAACAUAAGUUAGUACAUAAGUUCUAGUCCAGAAGUCUGGGUAUCUGUUUUUGAACUGCCUUUGAGCUACCAAUAGUGUUUACAUUUUUAGUGGAUGCAGAAAAGAAAAAAGGAGACCGAUCACGUCAAAGCCUAAAGUGCUUGCUGUCUGGCCUUUUUAUACAUGAAGUUUGCUUGAUUCUUAUUCUAGUCUUUAAAAAUCAAUUAUGAGGGCUGUGGCUGUGGCUUAGUGGCAGAGUGCUUGCCUGGCAUGUGUGAGGCACUGGGUUCAGCACCACAUAAAAUAAGACACUACAACUAAAACAAUUCUUUUUGAAAAUCAAUUAAGUAUGUAUAUAUGGAUGGUGGAUGGUUGGGUUAAAUGUGUUUCCAUUUGUCCUAAUAUGCCAGUUACGAAAUACAAUUUUAGGCUGGGGAAGCUCAGUGGUAAAGCAUCUGUCUAGCAUGCUGAGGGCUCCGUGUUCAAUCCCUAGCACCACAAAAAAUACAUAAAUAAAUUUUAGUCAAGUUACUUUUAGUUCCCUUUCAAUUCCUUUAUCCAAAUCUUAUCACUGUAGCAACUAUUAGGAUUCAUUAUAAAUUGACAGGUAUUUAGGCAAAAUACAUUGAUUUCCACUCCCCGAAUCUAGAGAUACGGAUGCCAUGUUGGAUUCUUAGUUUUAGUGGGUAAUUGAGCAGCUGUCUCUUUGUUCUCAUUUAUUUCACUCAGAUAUUAAUUGUACGUGCACUUUGCUUCCACCAAUACACUUCUCAUCACUUCUUUGACAACUUUAAUUUUUUUAAAGGUUUAUUAGGAACUGAAAAGAGUAGAGAAGCCCUGG
Molecule: long non-coding RNA, 1230 nt
Filed under: Marmota monax (woodchuck)
Lineage: Eukaryota; Metazoa; Chordata; Mammalia; Rodentia; Sciuridae
Source: RNAcentral